Molecule: small RNA, 553 nt
Filed under: Hyaloscypha finlandica
Lineage: Eukaryota; Fungi; Ascomycota; Leotiomycetes; Helotiales; Hyaloscyphaceae
Description: partial contains 18S rRNA, ITS1, 5.8S rRNA, ITS2, 26S/28S rRNA
Rfam family: 5.8S ribosomal RNA (bases 211-364)
Source: RNAcentral
AAGUCGUAACAAGGUUUCCGUAGGUGAACCUGCGGAAGGAUCAUUAAAGAAUCGCCCCGUUUUUCGAAAUGGGUUCUAUUCCUAAACCGUGUAUACAUACCUUUGUUGCUUUGGCGGGCCGCCUUUUAGGCGUCGGCUUCGGCUGACUGCGCCUGCCAGAGGACCCAAACUCGUUUGUUUAGUGAUGUCUGAGUACUAUAUAAUAGUUAAAACUUUCAACAACGGAUCUCUUGGUUCUGGCAUCGAUGAAGAACGCAGCGAAAUGCGAUAAGUAAUGUGAAUUGCAGAAUUCAGUGAAUCAUCGAAUCUUUGAACGCACAUUGCGCCCCUUGGUAUUCCGAGGGGCAUGCCUGUUCGAGCGUCAUUAUAACCACUCAAGCCUCGGCUUGGUCUUGGGGUUCCGCGGUCUCUCGCGGCCCUUAAAAUCAGUGGCGGUGCCAUCUGGCUCUAAGCGUAGUAAUUUUCUCGCUAUAGGGUCCCGGUGGUCUCCUGCCAAAACCCCCCCAUUUUUUACGGUUGACCUCGGAUCAGGUAGGGAUACCCGCUGAACUUA